RNAcentral lists this unclassified non-coding RNA (85 nucleotides) under Apharyngostrigea pipientis. Its description in RNAcentral is "partial external transcribed spacer". Lineage: Eukaryota; Metazoa; Platyhelminthes; Trematoda; Diplostomida; Strigeidae. The record is from RNAcentral.
GAGCUAGACUCUCCCUCAUUACUAACCUUAUGGUGUACUUGUAUGCCUUGGUAUAUGUAGUAUGUGCUAUGGUGUUUUCAUACAC